UACGUAGGGGGCGAGCGUUGUCCGGAAUCAUUGGGCGUAAAGCGCGUGUAGGCGGCCCGGUAAGUCCGCUGUGAAAGUCCAGGGCUCAACCCUGGGAUGCCGGUGGAUACUGUCGGGCUCGAGUCCGGAAGAGGCGAGUGGAAUUCCUGGUGUAGCGGUGAAAUGCGCAGAUAUCAGGAGGAACACCAAUGGCGAAGGCAGCUCGCUGGGACGUGACUGGCGCUGAGACGCGAAAGCGUGGGGAGCAAACAGG
RNAcentral lists this ribosomal RNA (253 nucleotides) under uncultured bacterium. RNAcentral's name for it is "partial 16S ribosomal RNA". It matches the Rfam family "Bacterial small subunit ribosomal RNA", at positions 524 to 776 of the family's 1533-position model. The record is from RNAcentral.